Molecule: long non-coding RNA, 622 nt
Organism: Xenia sp. Carnegie-2017
Lineage: Eukaryota; Metazoa; Cnidaria; Anthozoa; Malacalcyonacea; Xeniidae
Exons: 2
Source: RefSeq, a predicted model, not a curated record
AUAGAACAAAUGUUGGUGGUUUUAAUUCACCAUGAUGGAGGACUUAUAUAAAUAAAGAAAUUGAUUAUUGACCACGAUGAAAACGUAUUUGGCUUUUGUUCACCAUUCCCUUGAGGCUGAGCUAUUUACGAACUGAUAUUCUACUUCGUCAGAACUGCUUUAUAACUGAGGAAAUAUUAAGAUGCGAUGUUUCAAUCUCCAGUGUCUCCAACGAUAACACGAAGUUUAUCCACAGCAGCCUUAGAUUUUGGGUCAAGUUUUGUUCCUACUGAGUUGGAAAACAAUAUUGCUGCGAACAGUGUCACAAUCCCACUUACUGGUGUCACCAUGUUGAAAUUUUGACAGAAUAUGUUUGUCAUGAGGUUUCUUUUUUGUUUUUUCAAUAUUGAACAACUUCUGACCACUGACGUUUGCAUUUUCCCAUUCUCCGUGGGAUUUUUUGUAAUGAGUGUCCCAUUCUGAAUAAAAGGUCAACAAGUUUCUUUUCAACAACAUCUGUAAGUAUUUCUGCAGAUACGAGUUAUUAAUUUUUCUCUUGACUGCAUCUAAAGGUUAUAAAAUUAUUAAUAUCAAAUUGGUUCUUUAAUUAGAGUUUUGACAACUAAAAUUGUUGAAGAUCAAA